This is a long non-coding RNA of Biomphalaria glabrata, 960 nucleotides long. RefSeq lists it as uncharacterized. NCBI's taxonomy places the organism in Eukaryota, Metazoa, Mollusca, Gastropoda, Planorbidae. The transcript has 4 exons. The record is from RefSeq and is a predicted model, not a curated record.
GAUAAUUUUCUGGAUGUCUUCUUUGCUUAGUAUACACGGUAUUUUAUACAGAAUGGAAUCGAAUAUUAUUUCAUAAUGAAUUCAGCAAGUCAAAUAUCAUGAUUUGAUGCACUUUGUUCCGGAAAACACCCAAAGUCAUAUCAUACUGUUGGGUACGUGUUACAACGCAACGGUUAGUUGUGUGAAGAUUGCUUGUUUGAAGCCUGUCCAGUUCCAUCCCUGCUGUCCUUCAUAAAGGUUUAGGCUAGGACGUAAUCCACACACAGACAUUUAAUUGAAAGAUCUCAUUUCAACGGAUCACUGCAAGAUGGCAUACUAUUUUACUUUACAGCAAAAUGAGGCUUUUGUAAUGAAGAUUCUUGUCUUGGCUGCUUUUCUUUUAGAUUUUUCUUUUUCUACUGAUUGUAUAGAAGAAGGAAGAAGUGAAAUUCUACAUUUUGAACGCAAUCAUACUUCAGGAGUGGACAUAAAAGUUGCUUGGUACAAAGGUGACAGCAUUGUCUCAAUAUGCUCUGUUACUGACGGAUGUAAUGAUCUAGAUCGAAACACAGUUGAAUCAUCAUUUGAGUUUUUUAAAGACAACAGCACAUUUACAACUUGUAUAGUUAUUAAAAAGAUAUUGAGAACUGAUGGUGUUUUGUGGAAAUCAAAAUACCUCGGAGAGGCGAAAAUUGAACACCCUGGUGUGCUCUACUCUCGUAAAUUGACAUUAUGCGGUAUGUGAUCAAAAAUAAUUUUCACAAAACUAUAAAUUUAUGAGUACUAAAUCGCAUUAGUGCUCUUAUAUUUAUUUUCAAAUGGAUAGUGCUAUAUUUUCUUUUCAGGAUCUACGAUACGCCGGAAUUGUUAAGGCCUAAAUUAUUUUUUUUCACUUACAUUAGGCUUAGAUAAAUGCGCAACUUAAACUUAUAUCAUAUAAAAACAAGUAAAUAUUGUAUAUCAUCCACCUUGUAAUUUUAU